AACGAACGCUGGCGGCAGGCUUAACACAUGCAAGUCGAACGCCCCGCAAGGGGAGUGGCAGACGGGUGAGUAACACGUGGGAACAUGCCCAAAGGUACGGAAUAUUCUCGGGAAACUGGGAGCAAUACCGUAUGUGCCCGAAAGGGGAAAGAUUUAUCGCCUUUGGAUUGGCCCGCGUUGGAUUAGCUAGUUGGUGGGGUAAAAGCCUACCAAGGCGACGAUCCAUAGCUGGUCUGAGAGGACGACCAGCCACACUGGGACUGAGACACGGCCCAGACUCCUACGGGAGGCAGCAGUGGGGAAUUUUGGACAAUGGGCGCAAGCCUGAUCCAGCCAUGCCGCGUGAGUGAUGAAGGCCCUAGGGUUGUAAAACUCUUUCGUGGGGGACGAUAAUGACGGUACCCCAAGAAGAAGCUCCGGCUAACUUCGUGCCAGCAGCCGCAGUAA
This 447-nucleotide ribosomal RNA is filed under the name uncultured bacterium. Its description in RNAcentral is "partial 16S ribosomal RNA". It matches the Rfam family "Bacterial small subunit ribosomal RNA", at positions 29 to 523 of the family's 1533-position model. The record is from RNAcentral.